CGAGUCGGCCAGGCAAUCGCUCGCGUGCAUGCACGCGGGAGGAAAGUCCGGGCUCCGGCGGGCAGGGUGCCAGGUAACGCCUGGGAGGCGCGAGCCUACGGAAAGUGCCACAGAAAAUAACCGCCUAAGGGUCGCAAGACCCCGGCAAGGGUGAAAAGGUGCGGUAAGAGCGCACCGCGCGGGUGGCAACACUUCGCGGCUUAGGUAAACCCCACCCGGAGCAAGACCAAAUAGGGAAGCAGCAUUCCGCAAGGAAGGCACCGUCGCCCCGCGGGCUUCCGGGUAGGUCGCUUGAGGUCGUUGGUGACAACGAUCCCAGAGGAAUGAUUGUCCACGACAGAACCCGGCUUAUCGGCCGACUCGCUCU
Molecule: RNase P RNA, 367 nt
Filed under: Chromatiales bacterium
Lineage: Bacteria; Pseudomonadati; Pseudomonadota; Gammaproteobacteria; Chromatiales
Description: RNase P RNA component class A
Rfam family: Bacterial RNase P class A
About the family: Ribonuclease P (RNase P) is a ubiquitous endoribonuclease, found in archaea, bacteria and eukarya as well as chloroplasts and mitochondria. Its best characterised activity is the generation of mature 5'-ends of tRNAs by cleaving the 5'-leader elements of precursor-tRNAs.
Source: RNAcentral